GCGGAUGGAAUUUCUUCGGAGAGGAAGCCUGCAUGACUGAGUGGCGGACGGGUGAGUAACGCGUGGGCAACCCGCCCUGCACAGGGGGACAACAGCCGGAAACGGCUGCUAAUACCGCAUGAGCGCACAGCUUCGCAUGGAGCAGUGUGAAAAGCUGCGGCGGUGCAGGAUGGGCCCGCGUCUGAUUAGCUGGUUGGCGGGGCAACGGCCCACCAAGGCGACGAUCAGUAGCCGGCCUGAGAGGGUGGACGGCCACAUUGGGACUGAGACGCGGCCCAGACUCCUACGGGAGGCAGCAGUGGGGAAUACUGCACAAUGGGGGAAACCCUGAUGCAGCGACGCCGCGUGAGCGAAGAAGUAUUUCGGUAUGUAAAGCUCUAUCAGCAGGGAAGAAAUUGACGGUACCUGAGUAAGAAGCUCCGGCUAAAUACGUGCCAGCAGCCGCGGUAAUACGUAUGGAGCAAGCGUUAUCCGGAUUUACUGGGUGUAAAGGGAGCGUAGGCGGCCUGCCAAGUCUGAUGUGAAAUACCGGGGCUCAACCCCGGGGCUGCAUUGGAAACUGGCAGGCUGGAGUGUCGGAGAGGCAGGCGGAAUUCCUAGUGUAGCGGUGAAAUGCGUAGAUAUUAGGAGGAACACCAGUGGCGAAGGCGGCCUGCUGGACGACGACUGACGCUGAGGCUCGAAAGCGUGGGGAGCAAACAGGAUUAGAUACCCUGGUAGUCCACGCCGUAAACGAUGAACACUAGGUGUCGGGGAGCGAAGCUCUCCGGUGCCGCAGCAAACGCAGUAAGUGUUCCACCUGGGG
RNAcentral lists this ribosomal RNA (805 nucleotides) under uncultured bacterium. Its description in RNAcentral is "bacterial SSU rRNA". It matches the Rfam family "Bacterial small subunit ribosomal RNA", at positions 62 to 878 of the family's 1533-position model. The record is from RNAcentral.